This 211-nucleotide ribosomal RNA is filed under the name Listeria monocytogenes. RNAcentral describes it as "partial 16S ribosomal RNA". It matches the Rfam family "Bacterial small subunit ribosomal RNA", at positions 116 to 320 of the family's 1533-position model. The record is from RNAcentral. Lineage: Bacteria; Bacillati; Bacillota; Bacilli; Caryophanales; Listeriaceae.
CGUGGGCAACCUGCCUGUAAGUUGGGGAUAACUCCGGGAAACCGGGGCUAAUACCGAAUGAUAAAGUGUGGCGCAUGCCACGCUUUUGAAAGAUGGUUUCGGCUAUCGCUUACAGAUGGGCCCGCGGUGCAUUAGCUAGUUGGUAGGGUAAUGGCCUACCAAGGCAACGAUGCAUAGCCGACCUGAGAGGGUGAUCGGCCACACUGGGACU